GCCGGGGUGGUGAAAUGGUAGACACGUACGCUUGAGGUGCGUAUGCUUAACGGCUUGCAGGUUCAACUCCUGUCCCCGGCA
This 81-nucleotide transfer RNA is filed under the name Armatimonadota bacterium. RNAcentral describes it as "Armatimonadetes bacterium tRNA-Leu". It matches the Rfam family "tRNA". Rfam says of the family: Transfer RNA (tRNA) molecules are approximately 80 nucleotides in length. Their secondary structure includes four short double-helical elements and three loops (D, anti-codon, and T loops). Further hydrogen bonds mediate the characteristic L-shaped molecular structure. tRNAs have two regions of fundamental functional importance: the anti-codon, which is responsible for specific mRNA codon recognition, and the 3' end, to which the tRNAs corresponding amino acid is attached (by aminoacyl-tRNA synthetases). tRNAs cope with the degeneracy of the genetic code in two manners: having more than one tRNA (with a specific anti-codon) for a particular amino acid; and 'wobble' base-pairing, i.e. permitting non-standard base-pairing at the 3rd anti-codon position. Lineage: Bacteria; Bacillati; Armatimonadota. The record is from RNAcentral.